This 1289-nucleotide long non-coding RNA is filed under the name Phasianus colchicus (ring-necked pheasant). Its description in RNAcentral is "lncRNA (ENSPCLG00000005716.1)". The record is from RNAcentral. Lineage: Eukaryota; Metazoa; Chordata; Aves; Galliformes; Phasianidae.
AGACAUAUUUAUUCUCCAAGUAGAUCAUAAAUAUAAGUGCAUAUUCAUCUGAAGUGCUCUGUGAAAUUUUACAUUUCAAUUCAACAACUUUGCUGACGAAGACUUGCAAUGUUUCCUCCUGCUCCAUAGGGUCAGACAGAUGUGAUCAAACAUAUGUAAUGUGUCAGAUAUAUGGAAAACACAACUGCAAUCAUUUUUCUUUAUGAAAAGAAAAGAAUGUGCCCUUAAGCCACGUGAAGGAGAAAAGCCUAUACACCUAGAAUCAAACUGUAUCUAGAUUCAUUUAGAAAACUGGAACAUGAUUUCCUCUGAAUAACAGACACAGAGCCCCAGGCACUUUGUAUGUUCAAAAAUUAAACUUACAACUGGCAUACAUCUGGCAGUGAUCCUGUACACUAAAUCCAUUUGGUUGGCCAGAUGGCCUGAGACUUGCAGCUUUUUAAUCUCGCACACAAAGCACUUUAGGCUGGAAAAAAUAAUAAAUACAACGUAAUACAGCAUCGUGACAGAAUGCUUCUUUUAUUGAUUUUGGAGCUAUAGGUAUGGGAAAAUCUGGUCUAAGAAGGUACUGUUUUCCCAACUCACUCUCCCAGACUUGUUCAGAUGCUGUGAUUGUUAUCCUCUUUUCCUCUGUUCUUGUACCUUGUUCAUUCUCAGCAAAGGAUCUGUGACCCCUUAGGUUCAGGGGUGUAUGCUGGAGGCAGAGAAUGGCACAAUCAGACUGUAACUUCUCUCUGAUGAGGAAGAACAAGACUGUGAUAUCUUAACACCUAUUUUACUUCUGCAUCCCAUAUUGUCUUUUCUUUUUUUUUUUGCUUUAAAACCAGACAAGUUUAAAAUCUGAGACUUUCUAGAACCCACUGACUUCAUGACUACACGAAUAUCCAUCUAUGACAUUACUGUGCUGUUACCAUGCCUUUCACCUGCCUGCACUGCCAUUAACUGAAUGCCAUCAGGAAAGGAGGAAUUUGCCAGCUCUAAUGGAGUCAUUUCAAGCUUCUGACACCUCGGCUUACUGCAUGACCACAAUACCUCACAGGAGCUGAUAGUUGUGGUUCUUAAUCAUCCAAAGACAAACCAGGACUUGAUAUAUCUGGUGUGCAACAAGCACAGCUUCAGCAAGGAUUCAAGGCUUUCUUCAGGGAUGUGACCUCUUGCUGAUUUACAGUGAACAACAAACGUUCCACUUUUAUUAAGUACAACAUUUACUAUGCUUAUUAAUUUUGCCUAAUUUGUCAUCAUUUUCAAAUAUCCUCUGUAUGAAACUGCCUUUCAGGAACUGAUGUCUG